Molecule: non-coding RNA, 72 nt
Organism: Truncatella angustata
Lineage: Eukaryota; Fungi; Ascomycota; Sordariomycetes; Amphisphaeriales; Sporocadaceae
Source: the annotation of a RefSeq genome assembly
AGCACCUUGGCGCAGUGGAAGCGCGCCGGGCUCAUAACCCGGAGGACACUCGAUCGAAACGAGUAGGUGCUA